This 657-nucleotide ribosomal RNA is filed under the name uncultured bacterium. RNAcentral's name for it is "bacterial SSU rRNA". It matches the Rfam family "Bacterial small subunit ribosomal RNA", at positions 1 to 656 of the family's 1533-position model. The record is from RNAcentral.
CGCCCUUAGAGUUUGAUUUUGCGCUCAAGAUGAACGCUGGCGGCGUGCUUAACACAUGCAAGUCGAGCGGGGCGCAUCUGCGGAAUUUUUUGGAAGGAAGCGGAUGCGCUUAGCGGCGGACGGGUGAGUAACGCGUGGGCAACCUGCCUCAUACGGGGGGAUAACAGUUAGAAAUGACUGCUAAUACCGCAUAAGCGCACGAGGGCCGCAUGGCCCGGUGUGAAAAACUCCGGUGGUAUGAGAUGGACCUGCGUCUGAUUAGCUUGUUGGCGGGGUAACGGCCCACCAAGGCGACGAUCAGUAGCCGACCUGAGAGGGUGGCCGGCCACAUUGGGACUGAGACACGGCCCAAACUCCUACGGGAGGCAGCAGUGGGGAAUAUUGCACAAUGGGGGAAACCCUGAUGCAGCAACGCCGCGUGAGUGAAGAAGUAUCUCGGUAUGUAAAGCUCUAUCGGCAGGGAAGAAAGAAGACGGUACCUGACUAAGAAGCCCCGGCUAACUACGUGCCAGCAGCCGCGGUAAUACGUAGGGGGCGAGCGUUAUCCGGAUUUACUGGGUGUAAAGGGAGCGUANACGGCAUAGCAAGUCUGAAGUGAAAGCCCGCGGCUCAACCGCGGAACCGCUUUGGAAACUGUUAAGCUGGAGUGCUGGAGAG